RNAcentral lists this transfer RNA (74 nucleotides) under Schistocerca americana (American grasshopper). RNAcentral describes it as "tRNA-Arg". It matches the Rfam family "tRNA". Rfam says of the family: Transfer RNA (tRNA) molecules are approximately 80 nucleotides in length. Their secondary structure includes four short double-helical elements and three loops (D, anti-codon, and T loops). The record is from RNAcentral. Lineage: Eukaryota; Metazoa; Arthropoda; Insecta; Orthoptera; Acrididae.
GCUUGGGUAGCUUAGUUGGUAGAGCACUUGCCCGCGACGCAAGACGGUCGCAGGUUCGAAUCCUGCCUCGGGCA